ACGAAGGGUGCAAGCGUUAUUCGGAGUUACUGGGCGUAAAGAGUAUGUAGGCGGUUUGUUAAGUUAGUUGUUAAAGACCACGGCUCAACCGUGGAAAGGCAGCUGAUACUGAUGAGCUAGAGCGCAGAAGAGAGGAGUGGAAUUCCCGGAGUAGCGGUAAAAUGCGUAGAUCUCGGGAGGAACACCGGUUGCGAAGGCGGCUUCUUGGUCUGUGGCUGACGCUAAAGUACGAAAGCGUGGGGAGCAAACAG
Molecule: ribosomal RNA, 251 nt
Filed under: uncultured prokaryote
Description: partial 16S rRNA
Rfam family: Bacterial small subunit ribosomal RNA
Source: RNAcentral